UGGGGAAUCUUGCNCAAUGGGGGAAACCCUGACGCAGCGACGCCGCGUGCGGGAUGGAGGCCUUCGGGCCGUGAACCGCUUUCAGCAGGGAAGACAUUAAGGACGGUACCUGCAGAAGAAGCCCCGGCUAAACUACGUGCCAGCAGCCGCGGUAAUACGUAGGGGGCGAGCGUUAUCCGGAUUCAUUGGGCGUAAAGCGCGCGCAGGCGGCGCACCAGGCGGGAUCUCGAAACCGGGGGCUCAACCUCCGGGCGGAUCCCGAACCGGUGUGCUCGAGUGCGGUAGAGGAAGUCGGAAUUCCCGGUGUAGCGGUGAAAUGCGCAGAUAUCGGGAAGAACACCGAUGGCGAAGGCAGACUUCUGGGCCGACACUGACGCUCAGGCGCGAAAGCUGGGGGAGCGAACAGGAUUAGAUACCCUGGUAGUCCCAGCCGUAAACGAUGGGCACUAGGUGUGGGGGGCAUUUGCCUUCCGUGCCGCAGCUAACGCAUUAAGUGCCCCGCCUGGGGAGUACGGCCGCAAGGCUA
Molecule: ribosomal RNA, 526 nt
Filed under: uncultured bacterium
Lineage: Bacteria
Description: bacterial SSU rRNA
Rfam family: Bacterial small subunit ribosomal RNA
Source: RNAcentral